CGACGUGCGUGGAAAAGGUAUAACUUUCGUUCGGCAUGGUACCCACCGUUAUCGGGCCAAUCGUUAAUUGCGAACGAUAAUCAAAUCGCACUCGCUGCUUAGUUUCUAGGCAAGCGCGGUUCGGGGGGCACCGGGCAACAGAAGCCCCCCACU
Molecule: transfer-messenger RNA, 153 nt
Filed under: Rhodospirillaceae bacterium
Lineage: Bacteria; Pseudomonadati; Pseudomonadota; Alphaproteobacteria; Rhodospirillales; Rhodospirillaceae
Description: partial transfer-messenger RNA
Rfam family: Alphaproteobacteria transfer-messenger RNA
About the family: Bacterial tmRNA, also known as 10Sa RNA or SsrA, is named for its dual tRNA and mRNA-like properties. Its role is to liberate the mRNA from a stalled ribosome.
Source: RNAcentral